UACGUAGGCACCAAGCGUUGUUCGGAAUUACUGGGCGUAAAGCGAGUGUAGGCGGUUUGCCAAGUCGGUUGUGAAAUCUCCCGGCUUAACUGGGAGGGUGCGACUGAAACUGGCAGGCUGGAGUGCGGGAGAGGAGAGUGGAAUUCCUGGUGUAGCGGUGAAAUGCGUAGAUAUCAGGAGGAACACCGGUGGUGAAGACGGCUCUCUGGACCGCUACUGACGC
RNAcentral lists this ribosomal RNA (223 nucleotides) under uncultured bacterium. RNAcentral describes it as "partial 16S ribosomal RNA". It matches the Rfam family "Bacterial small subunit ribosomal RNA", at positions 524 to 746 of the family's 1533-position model. The record is from RNAcentral.